RNAcentral lists this ribosomal RNA (504 nucleotides) under uncultured bacterium. Its description in RNAcentral is "partial 16S ribosomal RNA". It matches the Rfam family "Bacterial small subunit ribosomal RNA", at positions 30 to 523 of the family's 1533-position model. The record is from RNAcentral.
AUUGAACGCUGGCGGCAUGCCUUACACAUGCAAGUCGAACGGCAGCAUGGAGAGCUUGCUCUCUGAUGGCGAGUGGCGAACGGGUGAGUAAAGCAUCGGAACGAACCGUGUAGUGGGGGAUAACGUAGCGAAAGUUACGCUAAUACCGCAUACGCACUGAGGUGGAAAGCAGGGGAUCGUAAGACCUUGCGCUAUACGAGCGGCCGAUGUCAGAUUAGCUAGUUGGUAGGGUAAAGGCCUACCAAGGCGACGAUCUGUAGCGGGUCUGAGAGGAUGAUCCGCCACACUGGGACUGAGACACGGCCCAGACUCCUACGGGAGGCAGCAGUGGGGAAUUUUGGACAAUGGGGGCAACCCUGAUCCAGCCAUGCCGCGUGAGUGAAGAAGGCCUUCGGGUUGUAAAGCUCUUUCGGCCGGGAAGAAAUCGCACAGGCUAAUACCCUGUGUGGAUGACGGUACCGGCAUAAGAAGCACCGGCUAACUACGUGCCAGCCGCCGCGGUAA